AAAGACCAUCCCAGUUCGGAUCGCAGGCUGCAACCCGCCUGCGUGAAGUUGGAAUCGCUAGUAAUCGCGGAUCAGCAUGCCGCGGUGAAUACGUUCCCGGGCCUUGUACACACCGCCCGUCACACCAUGAGAGUCGGGAACACCCGAAGUCCGUAGUCUAACCGCAAGGGGGACGCGGCCGAAGGUGGGUUCGAUAAUUGGGGUGAAGUCGUAACAAGGUAAC
RNAcentral lists this ribosomal RNA (223 nucleotides) under uncultured bacterium. RNAcentral's name for it is "partial 16S ribosomal RNA". It matches the Rfam family "Bacterial small subunit ribosomal RNA", at positions 1278 to 1500 of the family's 1533-position model. The record is from RNAcentral.